RNAcentral lists this ribosomal RNA (256 nucleotides) under uncultured archaeon. RNAcentral's name for it is "partial 16S ribosomal RNA". It matches the Rfam family "Bacterial small subunit ribosomal RNA", at positions 521 to 776 of the family's 1533-position model. The record is from RNAcentral.
UAAUACGAAUGGAGCAAGCGUUGUUCGGAAUCACUGGGCUUAAAGCGUGCGUAGGCGGCUUUGCAAGUCAGAAGUGAAAGCCUGGGGCUCAACCCCAGAACUGCUUUUGAAACUGCAAAACUAGAAUAUCGGAGAGGUUGGGAGAAUUCCUAGUGUAGAGGUGAAAUUCGCAGAUAUUAGGAGGAAUACCAGUGGCGUAGGCGCCCAACUGGACGAUUAUUGACGCUGAGGCACGAAAGCGUGGGGAGCAAACAGG